ACAAAAUCAUACGAGUUCAUUUAUCUUUCUAGAUGCUAGUCAUGCUUGCUACUGCAAAUCCUCUUUCAACAGUUAUGCUGAUAUUACAGAAUUCACUGAUUUUUAUUAAAAUGCAACAGAGUUUUAUUGGAUAUCCUAUUUAUCUGAUCUUGAAAAUUUUGGUUAAGCUCAAGAGUUGGUUGCUCAUUAGCAAGGAGUUCUGGUGAUGUGAGAGAACCUAAUUAAACAAGUCACUUCUGG
RNAcentral lists this unclassified non-coding RNA (240 nucleotides) under Hevea brasiliensis (rubber tree). Lineage: Eukaryota; Viridiplantae; Streptophyta; Magnoliopsida; Malpighiales; Euphorbiaceae. The record is from RNAcentral.